Molecule: non-coding RNA, 1498 nt
Organism: Meleagris gallopavo (turkey)
Lineage: Eukaryota; Metazoa; Chordata; Aves; Galliformes; Phasianidae
Source: RefSeq, a predicted model, not a curated record
UGAAGAGCUGACUGCUAGUGGGGAAGGAUCUCUUGUGGAGAUCCACUCUGCUGGAGUUUCAUAAAUGAGCCCAGGAUACAGGAGGGUGAUCUGAAUGCAGGAAAGCUGUCGUGUUCCUUCUCUACAAGUAUUUUUAAAUCAUUGACUUUGCAAUCUCGAUAAUUAGGAUUUUCCAACAGAGAUUGUAUUCAAAAAGGAAAGGAAAAAAAGAAAAGAAAAGAAAAACCCUGAACACUUGGAUACAAAUACAGGUCACAAUCCUGCUUCAGCUGAAGUCAAAGGAACAGUGUCAGGCAAUGAGUUCUGCCUCGUUAGAGCAUGCUGGGUGAAUGUCUUCCAUUUCCCUUGGAUAACAAGAGACCUGGAGCUCGAUUCAUAUCCGUGUCACCCAAGACAAUACAGGUGUUGCACCCUCAUAGGAGGGAUGUUUCUGAAACAACCUUUCUGAUGCUGGCAGUGAAAUUGGUCUUUGCUUUACAAAUGCCAGCGCAUGGAGUUGGUGCAAAAUGGUGAAGAUGGCUCCUGCCCAGUGCUUAACUCCAGUUUGGUGCUGGCAUAAAUGCAGUUCUGUUUGCCAUGGCCAGAUAUCGCUUUGCCAAGUGGAGAUAAGCCCUGAAAGACAGAUUUUUAUAGACUCACAGAGCAGCUCGGGUUGGAAGAUCCGUUCCAAUGAUGAUGAAACCUUCUGUGAUUCAAAAAUAUUUUUCCUGUAUUUUGCAGCAUUCAAGACCAAAGGUUUCUUGGACUCCAAACCACAGCCACGUCACCCUCAUACACAGCUUCCUUUGCAACUUCAGCUUGUGACAAGCAUCCCCUUUGGCAAAAUAGCUCUUGCAAUGGAACUAUCUUCACGUUUGUGUCUGCCUACAGUCACCCAUGAGACAUUGACCUCCAUCCGUCUCCAGCCCUGGAAAGUCCCACAAUGAGAGGUUUGGUGGGUUUGGAUUUGCAAGGAGUAGCUGGGGCAGUGUGAAGGCAAAGUCCAAGCUCAUCCUCGCUCAUGGUUUAACACAGAUAGAGACAUGUGAACAAAUUCGAGGUGGCAGUUGUAGACUUAAGGCCAUUGCAGCCCCGAUGAGCUGAUGGUUUAUAUUCCUGCCACAAAAGGUUGUUUUCAUUGUUGUUUUAAUCACUAGCACAAAAUAAUUCCAAUCUUUUUUUUUUUCCUCCCGUGAAGCGAUGAAGUGACAAAGCAGCAAAAUAAAUAAUUGUAUCGUCGUCUACGCAGAGCAAGCAAAAUUGGGUUUGCAAAAUAAAAUAAAGGAAUCAAUCACUUUCCAUACACAAAGACUAUUUUUAAGUAAUUCUUGAAGCAGGAGAAGUUUUAGGAUCAGAGAAGUGGCUGUAAUCAAAAUGCUGGAGGAAGAUGGGAUUCGUUCAGAAAACUAAGUGCCUCAUUAAAAAUCAAUCUCCUUUCUGCACAUUCAAAUAGUGUAUUGAUUAUCAUACUUUACCAGAUCUGUUUAUAGUCACAUUUGCUUGAGGGAGGUAAAAAAAA